ACAGUCACUGACAUUAGAUACCCCUGUAGUCCAGGGUGUAAACGCUGCAGACUUGGUGUUGGAGGCCCUUUGGGGGCAUUCAGUGCCGGAGAGAAGUUGUUAAGUCUGCUACUUGGGGAAUACGUCCGCAAGGAUGAAACUUAAAGGAAUUGGCGGGGGAGCACCGCAACGGGAGGAGCGUGCGGUUUAAUUGGAUUCAACACCGUAAAACUCACCAGGGAAGACUGUUACAUGAAGGCCGAGAUGAAGACUCUGCUAGAUUUUCAG
Molecule: ribosomal RNA, 267 nt
Filed under: uncultured archaeon
Lineage: Archaea
Description: partial 16S ribosomal RNA
Rfam family: Archaeal small subunit ribosomal RNA
Source: RNAcentral